RNAcentral lists this long non-coding RNA (634 nucleotides) under Vombatus ursinus (common wombat). RNAcentral's name for it is "lncRNA (ENSVURG00010013791.1)". Lineage: Eukaryota; Metazoa; Chordata; Mammalia; Diprotodontia; Vombatidae. The record is from RNAcentral.
GGACGUCAUUUACGUUGGGGAUCCCGGUCGGGAGACGACGCUGGAGAGAAAAGCACUUUGGCCAUCCAGGGACUAGCAGCGCUUGGGUCAAGCACGAAAGGCGGAUCAGCGGCGGGAGCAACAGUGCAGGAGGCUGUACCUGUCCUAGGCAGGCACACAGGUUGGCAAGGCCAGUUGGAACCAAGAUAAAAGGUCAUCACAGGAAAACCUUGAACCACUUACUGAGGAGGAUUCCCAGAGCACACUGGCUAGAGCAGUGUUUGAUUUCAUGGGUCAGACAUGGAGCCUGUCCCUGUUACUCUUUACCUUGGUUCUGCUGAAUUCUCCCAGACAUGUCACAGGUGAGUGAUUGCACCCAACUAGUCCUGCCCAUACUCUAGUCCUCUCAGCUGGGGUUCACAAACUUGGGGGGAGGAGAUUGGAGAGGGGAAAGAGGAGAAGGAAAGGAGGGAGGGGAAAGGCCUUAGGACUUGAAAAUAGCAAGGUCCACACAGGAGAAAGAAGAAGGGAGGCCAUGAAGGGUACAAGGUGAGGAAGCAGCUGGACACCCUCACUCUCCUCACAGAUUAGAACCCAGCUCCAGAGGUCUGAGGGUCAAAGACCUGAGGAUAGCUGGAGGAGAUCAGGCAGGACU